GAACUUUCCAGAGAUGGAUUGGUGCCUUCGGGAACUCUGAGACAGGUGCUGCAUGGCUGUCGUCAGCUCGUGUUGUGAAAUGUUGGGUUAAGUCCCGCAACGAGCGCAACCCUUAUCCUUUGUUGCCAGCGGUUAGGCCGGGAACUCAAAGGAGACUGCCAGUGAUAAACUGGAGGAAGUGGGGAUGACGUCAAGUCAUCAUGGCCCUUACGAGUAGGGCUACACACGUGCUACAAUGGCGCAUACAAAGAGAAGCGACCUCGCGAGAGCAAGCGGACCUCAUAAAGUGCGUCGUAGUCCGGAUUGGAGUCUGCAACUCGACUCCAUGAAGUCGGAAUCGCUAGUAAUCGUGGAUCAGAAUGCCACGGUGAAUACGUUCCCGGGCCUUGUACACACCGCCCGUCACACCAUGGGAGUGGGUUGCAAAAGAAGUAGGUAGCUUAACCUUCGGGAGGGCGCUUACCACUUUGUGAUUCAUGACUGGGGUGAAGUCGUAACAAGGUAGGCGUAGUGCU
RNAcentral lists this ribosomal RNA (515 nucleotides) under uncultured bacterium. Its description in RNAcentral is "bacterial SSU rRNA". It matches the Rfam family "Bacterial small subunit ribosomal RNA", at positions 993 to 1509 of the family's 1533-position model. The record is from RNAcentral.